This 498-nucleotide ribosomal RNA is filed under the name uncultured bacterium. RNAcentral's name for it is "partial 16S ribosomal RNA". It matches the Rfam family "Bacterial small subunit ribosomal RNA", at positions 28 to 523 of the family's 1533-position model. The record is from RNAcentral.
GACGAACGCUGGCGGCGCGCCUAACACAUGCAAGUCGAGCGGAGAUAUUUGAAGGAAGUUUUCGGAUGGAAUUUGGGUAUUUUAGCGGCGGACGGGUGAGUAACGCGUGAGUGACCUGCCUUCCACAGGGGGAUAACGUACCGAAAGGUACACUAAUACCGCAUGAGACCACAGCACUGCCUGGUGCAGGGGUCAAAGGAGCAAUCCGGUGGAAGAUGGACUCGCGUCCGAUUAGAUAGUUGGUGGGGUAACGGCCUACCAAGUCAGCGAUCGGGAGCCGACCGGGGAGGGUGAUCGGCCACAUUGGAACGGAGAGACGGUCCAAACUCCUACGGGAGGCAGCAGUGGGGAAGAUUGGGCAAUGGGGGAAACCCUGACCCAGCGACGCCGCGUGAGGGAAGAAGGUUUUCGGAUUGUAAACCUCUGUUCUUGGUGAAGAGGGAAAGACGGUAGCCAAGGAGGAAGCCCCGGCUAACUACGUGCCAGCCGCCGCCGUAA